RNAcentral lists this ribosomal RNA (425 nucleotides) under uncultured bacterium. RNAcentral's name for it is "bacterial SSU rRNA". It matches the Rfam family "Bacterial small subunit ribosomal RNA", at positions 356 to 773 of the family's 1533-position model. The record is from RNAcentral.
GGGGAAUAUUGGACAAUGGGGGGAACCCUGAUCCAGCCAUGCCGCGUGUGUGAAGAAGGUCUUCGGAUUGUAAAGCACUUUAAGUUGGGAGGAAGGGUUUGCGGUUAAUACCUGCGAAUUUUGACGUUACCAACAGAAUAAGCACCGGCUAACUUCGUGCCAGCAGCCGCGGUAAUACGAAGGGUGCGAGCGUUAAUCGGAAUUACUGGGCGUAAAGCGCGCGUAGGUGGUUUGUUAAGUUGGAAGUGAAAGCCCCGGGCUCAACCUGGGAAUUGCUUUCAAAACUGACAGGCUAGAGUACGGUAGAGGGUAGUGGAAUUUCCUGUGUAGCGGUGAAAUGCGUAGAUAUAGGAAGGAACAUCAGUGGCGAAGGCGACUACCUGGACUGAUACUGACACUGAGGUGCGAAAGCGUGGGGAGCAAAC